Molecule: long non-coding RNA, 3135 nt
Organism: Loxodonta africana (African savanna elephant)
Lineage: Eukaryota; Metazoa; Chordata; Mammalia; Proboscidea; Elephantidae
Exons: 5
Source: RefSeq, a predicted model, not a curated record
UCUGCUUCUCCUUCCACAGAUCUGAUGAGGCUAAUCAGUGCCCUUUGCGGGCUCCGCCAGCUGAGGUAGGACUCAGUUGAUUUUGCACGAGCCCCACCUGUCCCGGCUUUCGCUGCGGGUCUCUCGAGGAGUGGACUCGGUCAGUCUGUCCUGAACCCUUCCUGCAGCGGAGCCGGGAGGAGUGCCUGGCGCGUCCAAAUCGGACAGCUCUGACUUAAGCAAAAACUUCCGAGUCAGAAGAAGUGAUGGCUGCGGGGUUCCUGGUAGCCUGGUCCCUGGCCCUUGGAUUCUCAAGACAUAUGUUGUUGCCCAACUGGAACUUGGAGCAGAGCCAUGGAUGUUGGACACAGGACUCCUCAAGACCUCUGCCCAGGGUGGAAGAACAGAACUAAAAGCCAAGAUUCACUGUCAACAGACCCCAUUUCUAAUGAGGAAUUACCCAGCGGCAUGAACACAAGACCCACAAGGGGAGAUUCUUGGCAUUCUACCAUAGGAAAUAACUGGGCAUCUGAGUCUAAGUCAGAGAAGCAGAGGACACAUGAGGGCUGUAUAGGGCCAGUGAAAUAUGAACAAGGGCAAGCAGUUACCCAGGACAGGGACUAUGAAUACCCUGAAGUGGGAAAAUGCAGCUUAGCUCAGACUUUAUUCCUUCACAGAGAUUUCCUAGAGAAGAACAUUUCAGGAACUUGACUCAGGGAUUCAAAGCUUGCAGCAUAACUUUGUUUUAAAAAACCAUCAGGAAAUCAAGGUAGGAAAGAAACCUUUUAAAGGCAACGUAUGUGGAAAGGCCUUGGAAAUACUGUAUAAUCAGGGUGAAUAUACCAACCAGAGUGUACACAUUUCUACACAUGAGUCAGUUAAUAUAAGAGAGAAAUUCUGUGAAUGUAAAGUAAGUGAGAAUUUUUUUCACCAUAGCUCACAGGUCUCUCAGGUCAUGAGACUCAUAUUGGAGAGAAAGCCUAUGAAUGUAAUGAAUGUGGCAAAGCCUUUAAGAAGGUUUCACCUCUUUCUCACCAUCUGAGAAAUCACAGUAGAAAGAAAGCCUAUGAAUGUAAUGAAUGUGGGAAAUCUUUCUGGUAGAGCCAUCACCUCAUUUUGCACCAGAGAACUCACACAGGAAGUCACUAUAAACCCUAAUUAGGAACAAUGUGUAAAAACAUGGAAAAUGCAUAUAAUGUGCAGUGAAAUGUACAGAAACUGUUGCAUCUGUGUUACCGUACAUGUGCAUUUGGACAAGGGCUUCAAGGAAGCACAGAAAUGAACACAGGUAAGCAUCUUAGAUAUAUUGUGACUUUCUUUUUUAAUAUUUCUUUUAAAAUUGCUUAAUUUUAUAAUAAAUAAAAAACAAAAAGAAGUUGAUCGAAUGUCUGAACUGUCAGGGGGAAGUGUGUUGGUGUGCCUUGAAGUAGCAAAGAAACAAUAACAAAUAGAAAUAAAUUUAGCAGUCAACGCAAGAAGUUAUAAGUUAUUCCUAAUAAAAUAGAAGGAAACCCAUUGCUGUUGAGUCGAUUCCAACUCAUAGCAACCCUAUAGGACAGAGUAGAACUGCCCCAUAGGGUUUCCAAGGCUUUAAUCUUUAUAGGAGUAGACUGCCACAUCUUUCUCCCAUGGAGUGGCUCUAGUGGAUUCAAACAGUAGACCCUUCAGUUAGCAGCCGAGCAUUUAACUACUGCACCACCAGGGCUCCUUAAAAGUAGGAGGAAGUAUGUAAUACAUUGAAAAGCAAGAAAUACUGUAAAAGGUGACAGAAAAACUGGAUAGAUUGCAAACCAGUGUGAUCAAGAAAAACAACACAAUUUGCAACAUUGGAAAUGAAAGGGAAAUAAUCGUAGAGCAUAUAAUAUUAAAAGGUUUGUACAUUUCUGUGUUAAAAAGACUGGAAAACCUGGGUGAGAAAGGCCCCUGUCAAUACAUAUUCAAGACCAGGAUUCAGCUGAUGUGAAUUCAAAACAAAACAAAAAAUUGCCUUUAAAGAGCUCCUCAGAUCCACUACUCAGUUUUCCCAACUUCCUGAAUAAAAUUUCCAUUCCAGGGAGAUGCUGAUCCUCAAUCCCUUCACAAGACUUUCAUAAAUAUCCACCUGGAUACAGUGGCACACGAUCACCACUCACAUUCAGUCUAUCCACAUGUCCUGGGAAUUCUAACUACAAACACAUCUUCCAUCAGCUCAAUUAUCCUUACCUCCACUGCCUUCUCCCUCCAGAACCAAGCUGACAUUUUUUCUCCAGGGCCACCGCAGUAGUCUCUUACUGGUCUCUCCAUGCCCACCCUUUGCCUCUAUAAUCCUCUAUACCCACAGGAGCCACAGUGAACUUUUAAAAACACAAAUAAGAUCAUGUUUCUCUCCUGAAUCUUAGGGCCCUUCGAAGACUCACCACUGUUCUAGAAUAACUUUUCACUGUGGCCCAUAAGACCUGUGCGUCUGUCCUCCCCCCGCCCCCCGCCUCUCCAAGCUCCGUUCACAACAUUGUUCAAGGUGCUCACUUCUGUCUGCUUACACUGGCCCUGUUCUAGUUUCUUGAACGCUUUGAAGUUGUUCCCACCUCAGGAUCUCUGCAAACAUUGGUAGAGGGGCAGCGAGAACUAUGGAAACUGUCAAUGAGAUGGAUUGACACAGCACACUAAGGGACUCAAACACACCAAUUGUCAUGGAUUGAAUCGUGUCCCCCAAAAAUAUGUGUAUCAAUUUGGCUAGGCCAUGAUUCCUAGUAUUGUGUGAUUGUUCACCAUUUUGUCAUCUGAUGUGAUUUUCCUAUGUGUUGUAAAUCCUAUAUGAUGUUGAUGGGUUGAGAAUAGUGGCAGUUAUGUUAGUGAGACAGGACUCAAUCUACAAGAUUCGAUUGUGUCUUAAGCCAAUCUCUUUUGAUAUAAAAGACAGAAGCAAGCAGAGAGACAGGGGAACCUCAUACCAGCAAGAAACAAGAGCUAGGAGAAUAGUGCGUCCCUUGGACGUGGGGUCCCUGCACUGAGAAGCUCCUCAGCCAGGGGAAGAUUGAUGACCAGGACCUUUCCCCAGAGCUGACAGAAACAGAAAGCAUUCUCUGGAGCCGGAACCUUGAAUUUGGACUUCGAGCCUCCUAGGCUAUGAGAGAAUAACUUUCUCUUUGUUAAAGCCAUCCACUUGUGGUAUUUCUA